GACGAACGCNGGCGGCGUGCUUAACACAUGCAAGUCGAACGAAGAGCGAUGGAAGCUUGCUUCUAUCAAUCUUAGUGGCGAACGGGUGAGUAACGCGUAAUCAACCUGCCCUUCAGAGGGGGACAACAGUUGGAAACGACUGCUAAUACCGCAUACGAUCUAAACUCGGCAUCGAGGAUAGAUGAAAGGUGGCCUCUACAUGUAAGCUAUCACUGAAGGAGGGGACUGCGUCUGAUUAGCUAGUUGGAGGGGUAACGGCCCACCAAGGCGAUGAUCAGUAGCCGGUCUGAGAGGAUGAACGGCCACAUUGGGACUGAGACACGGCCCAGACUCCUACGGGAGGCAGCAGUGGGGAAUCUUCCGCAAUGGACGAAAGUCUGACGGAGCAACGCCGCGUGAGUGAUGACGGCCUUCGGGUUGUAAAGCUCUGUUAAUCGGGACGAAAGGCCUUCUUGCGAAUAGNGAGAAGGAUGA
This 474-nucleotide ribosomal RNA is filed under the name uncultured bacterium. Its description in RNAcentral is "bacterial SSU rRNA". It matches the Rfam family "Bacterial small subunit ribosomal RNA", at positions 28 to 472 of the family's 1533-position model. The record is from RNAcentral.